UUCGCGUUUUUAAUUCCAAUUUACGAAUAUAUACGGCGCGUUAUCUAUUUUUAUGUUUUUUUGUAGUAAAAACAAAAAGAAAAAUUAUGAUUUUGCACGAUAUUUACGCUAUAAAUGGCAUCACUGUUCGAAAUUCAAUUGGAUACUAGUGAUACAAGCAGCGAUCGGUUUCGAAAUAUCGAUACUCUCGAUAUUAGAGACUAAACAAGAAUUGAUAAAAAUGAGAGAAACAUAAUAGAAAAAUAAUAAUAGUUGGAAAAAUAAAAAUAAAUUAAAAUAUCGAUAUUCUCAAUAUUCGAGUCUGAACGAGAAUUGAAAGAAGAAGAAGUUGGACACAGAAGAAUUAUGAACGCCGGGGUGUUGGACCGACCAGGGUUAUUUUUUUUCGAGCGCUCGAAAUUGAAUGAAUUAUAAAUUUUUCUAUUAUGUAUUUCUCCUUUUAACCAAUUCUCGUUCAGACUCAAAUAUCGAGAGUAUCGAUAAUUCGAAAACGAUCAGUGCAUAAAUCAAUAGAUUCGAAUUUACAACAGCGAUGCCAUAAUUUCGAACAUAACCUUGCCAUUU
This is a long non-coding RNA of Bactrocera neohumeralis, 564 nucleotides long. RefSeq lists it as uncharacterized. NCBI's taxonomy places the organism in Eukaryota, Metazoa, Arthropoda, Insecta, Diptera, Tephritidae. The transcript is spliced from 2 exons. The record is from RefSeq and is a predicted model, not a curated record.